RNAcentral lists this ribosomal RNA (162 nucleotides) under uncultured bacterium. RNAcentral's name for it is "partial 16S ribosomal RNA". It matches the Rfam family "Bacterial small subunit ribosomal RNA", at positions 393 to 539 of the family's 1533-position model. The record is from RNAcentral.
AACGCCGCGUGAGUGAAGACGGUCUUCGGAUUGUAAAGCUCUGUCCUUAGGGAAGAACCGUGGGUAUAGCAAAUGAUACCCAUCUGACGGUACCUUUGGAGGAAGCACUGGCUAACUACGUGCCAGCAACGGCGGUGACUGAGCGGGCUGGCAAGGCGCAUA